AGCAGCCGCGGUAAUUCCAGCUCCAAUAGCGUAUAUUAAAGUUGUUGCAGUUAAAAAGCUCGUAGUUGAAUUUCGGGAUCAAGGAAUCGGUCAUGCCUUGGUAUGUACUGGUUUUAUUGGUUCUCACCUUCUAAAGAACCAUAAUGUCAUUCAUUUGAUGUUAUGGGAAUU
RNAcentral lists this ribosomal RNA (171 nucleotides) under uncultured Glomus. RNAcentral describes it as "partial 18S ribosomal RNA". It matches the Rfam family "Eukaryotic small subunit ribosomal RNA", at positions 569 to 739 of the family's 1831-position model. Lineage: Eukaryota; Fungi; Glomeromycota; Glomeromycetes; Glomerales; Glomeraceae. The record is from RNAcentral.